This is a non-coding RNA of Stegodyphus mimosarum, 73 nucleotides long. Lineage: Eukaryota; Metazoa; Arthropoda; Arachnida; Araneae; Eresidae. The record is from Rfam.
CCUUUCGUGGUGCAGUGGUCAGCACGCUGGACGCGUAACUGAGAGGUCCGUGGUUCGAUUCCUGGCGAAGGCG